CCUACGGGUGGCAGCAGUGGGGAAUAUUGCACAAUGGGGGGAACCCUGAUGCAGCGACGCCGCGUGAGUGAAGAAGUAUCUCGGUACGUAAAGCUCUAUCAGCAGGGAAGAAAAUGACGGUACCUGACUAAGAAGCCCCGGCUAACUACGUGCCAGCAGCCGCGGUAAUACGUAGGGGGCAAGCGUUAUCCGGAUUUACUGGGUGUAAAGGGAGCGUAGACGGCACUGCAAGUCCGGAGUGAAAGCCCAAGGCUUAACCAUGGGACUGCUCUGGAAACUGUGGAGCUUGAGUGCGGGAGGGGUAGGCGGAAUUCGUGGUGUAGCGGUGAAAUGCUUAGAUAUCACGAAGAACUCCGAUUGCGAAGGCAGCUUACUAAACUGCCACUGACAUUGAUGCUCGAAAGUGUGGGUAUCAAACAGGAUUAGAUACCCGGGUAGUC
This 440-nucleotide ribosomal RNA is filed under the name uncultured bacterium. RNAcentral's name for it is "partial 16S ribosomal RNA". It matches the Rfam family "Bacterial small subunit ribosomal RNA", at positions 338 to 795 of the family's 1533-position model. The record is from RNAcentral.